Molecule: ribosomal RNA, 497 nt
Filed under: uncultured bacterium
Lineage: Bacteria
Description: partial 16S ribosomal RNA
Rfam family: Bacterial small subunit ribosomal RNA
Source: RNAcentral
GAUGAACGCUGGCGGCGUGCCUAAUACAUGCAAGUCGAGCGAACAGACGAGGAGCUUGCUCCUCUGACGUUAGCGGCGGACGGGUGAGUAGCACGUGGAUAACCUACCUAUAAGACUGGGAUAACUUCGGGAAACCGGAGCUAAUACCGGAUAAUAUAUUGAACCGCAUGGUUCAAUAGUGAAAGACGGUUUUGCUGUCACUUAUAGAUGGAUCCGCGCCGCAUUAGCUAGUUGGUAAGGUAACGGCUUACCAAGGCAACGAUGCGUAGCCGACCUGAGAAGGUGAUCGGCCACACUGGAACUGAGACACGGUCCAGACGCCUACGGGAGGCAGCAGUAGGGAAUCUUCCGCAAUGGGCGAAAGCCUGACGGAGCAACGCCGCGUGAGUGAUGAAGGUCUUCGGAUCGUAAAACUCUGUUAUUAGGGAAGAACAAAUGUGUAAGUAACUAUGCACGUCUUGACGGUACCUAAUCAGAAAGCCACGGCUAACUACGUG